UGCUAGCUGUGGAGGUCCUGUUUAUGACGUGCGUCUCGCGGGCCCCGAGGAAUCGCUUCAUGACGUCAUCAGAAAGGCUGAAAGCGUGACAGCGCUGCCUGGUGACUACACCUGUAAACAAAUCUGAUGACGUUAGUGACGUCACACGUUGGCUACAGCGUUUAUACUAGUGAUGGGCUAAACUGCGAUUUUCCGAUAUCAGUGAUUUCUGUGAAUGCUACUUUUCAGUAUCUGCUAUUCUUAACUGUGAUUUGUCGCAGUUAAGAGUCGCAGCUGCGAUUUCUGCUACUUCCGCGAUUUCUGUGACUUCUGCUACUUCUGCGAUUUUUGUGACUUAUGCUACUUCUGCGACUUCUGCGAUUUCUGUGACUUCUGCUACUUCUGCGAUUUCUGUGACUUCUGCGAUUUACCACCGUAUGAAAAAGUUACAUCUGCCCACACAGAAAAUUGCAUCUCAACAAAUCUGUCAUUGGUACCCGAACUACAUUUCAGUCACUCAGUAAAUUGAUAACUCAAAAUAUCAUUGUCAACAGAUCUGGAGAAGUUGCCACAGCGUCUUUAGACCGUUUUCGUCAGACGAGAGACACAGUUCUGACUCUUGAUUACUGGUUGCUGUACGUAUCUAUCCACAUUACGGGUAUUGAGGGAGACUCGUGAAGAUUCAAGACAGCUCUUAGAGGAUUUGCAGUUUAAAAGUGACAUAAUUGUGAAAUAAGUGUGCAGAUGAGUAAUUAAAAUGUGUUUUAUUGAAGUUGUUAUGCGUUUUUAAAGGAAUAAUAAAUGUUAA
Long non-coding RNA from Schistocerca gregaria, 787 nucleotides. RefSeq lists it as uncharacterized. The transcript is spliced from 3 exons. NCBI's taxonomy places the organism in Eukaryota, Metazoa, Arthropoda, Insecta, Orthoptera, Acrididae. The record is from RefSeq and is a predicted model, not a curated record.